CCCAUGAAUAAAUUGAUAUCACUAAUAUAUCUAUCAUAUAGACACCACCCUCGAACAAAUUGCUAACAUCGAAAGUCGAGAGUACACAAUAAGGUCGAGGUAAAGGUAGAUUUCAUGCUUGGUAGAGGGUGGGUGGGUAUCUAAUAAGUCUUGGUUCUACCCACCCCCAACAUUCAUUCCGUUGAGUUGUUGCACAAGUAUGGCUUCCAAAGGUAAGAAGCUUCACAUUGGGAUGGCGUGUCCGAGGAAUGUGGUCGUGAAGAAACAAAAAUAUCAUGAGCAGGAAUUAGCUCGACAGCGGACGGGGAGUAAGGGUGGCUCAUGCACGCUCGUUAGUUCGACCAAGGGUUUCCGUUCUUUUUCUGUUGAUGUUCUCAAGUCUCUGCCCCAAGGGGUUUGUACUGGGUCUUCUCCUCCACAAAACAGGGCACGAGAUAUCCAUUUUGCUUCUGCUUCUGCUUCUACUCCAUAGGGUGAUACUUUUUACCAUCAACAUGAACUAGGCAGAAGGCAGACUGUAUUGGGAUACCGCAGACAUUUUCUUAACUUGGAAUGCACAAAAAAUGUGGUGAGUGAGGACGGUUUGAGGCGAUUUUCCACUCUAACCGACGAGGAAGUGAAUGAGUUGUUAGUCGAAGAAUUGGCUUGGACAUGCUAGUUAUGAUUUUGCCUUACUUGUCGCAUAUUAUUCUUCUUUUAUUGACUUGACUGUCUUACUCUCA
Long non-coding RNA from Sesamum indicum (sesame), 722 nucleotides. RefSeq lists it as uncharacterized. The record is from RefSeq and is a predicted model, not a curated record. Lineage: Eukaryota; Viridiplantae; Streptophyta; Magnoliopsida; Lamiales; Pedaliaceae.